Molecule: RNA transcript, 4055 nt
Organism: Triticum aestivum (bread wheat)
Lineage: Eukaryota; Viridiplantae; Streptophyta; Magnoliopsida; Poales; Poaceae
Exons: 2
Source: RefSeq, a predicted model, not a curated record
AUGCAGAUGGAGCACGCCAUGGGAGUUCCCCAUCCACCAUGGUCGCUGUCGUCAAGGGCUUCUUCAAGGAGAUGUGAAGGACGCCAUCGACCUGCAGCUACUCAAGGUUUUAUUCCACCUUUCCUCUUAUAUCAAGUUCUAACAGUACAUUGGGGGAGUGGGGGCGGAGAAGGCACCCCACCUGAAUUUUCAUUUCUCAAGUCUCAAGCGGCGACAGUACCCGGCAACACGAGUACAGGGAGUGUUUUUACUGGUUACGUCCAAAGUGGAGAACUAAGAACAACAGCCUCAAGGAAACUAUACGGAGAGAGCUAGGAGGAUUGGUUUCCAGUCCAGGAGUGAGCUCCUGUCUUUUGAUUUGAAAUGAAACGCCCACUGGGAGAGGUCUGCAGCUGCUGCUUUCGUGAGGCUGGUCAUGGAGGGGCGCAUGCCCUGAGGUGGGUGGGUGUUAGCUAUGACGAGAAAACAUAUGAAGUUUCUGCUAUUGUUAAGCCUGAUGUCGAAGAGUUGGAAAUGAUUUGUGAAUCUCUGUGCACGUAAAUGGAACAUUGGACAAGUUAAGCCAUGUGUAUUCCAUCUCCUUUAAUAUAUUGCUUGUGAUUGGCCUAAUAGAGAGUCUGCAAGACGUGAUUUGUACUCAAAGCAUCUCAUCCAGAUCACUUUACAAUACUUUUCUUCAUAUCUAGAAAAUGCGUGUAUGCAUAUCAGUUUCGUGAACAAUUUUUUUGAAUAUCCAGGUCACUUUAUGCAUAUCCAGAUCACUUUACAAACAGAACAAAUGCGUGUAUUCCUUUUUCAUCAUAUCCAUAUCUAGAAAAGCAUUCCUCCAUGUAAUAGGGUUUUUGAAAGCAGUAUGCAUAUAUGUUUCGUGAAUAAUUUUUUUUUGUUAUUGCAACCAUAAGAAAGAAUCUUACUGGAUUGUCCUGGAAAAUAUUAGUCAUCUAUUGCCGAUAACUAGAUCCGUGUUAACUCAAUAGGGUGAUCUAGCGAGUUAUCUUGAGACAAAAAGUCGCCUGCAAUCUUAUAAAGUGAUCAGAUUUGCCCCUGAGACUGCAAGGUAUGUUAGGAUUCAUAACAUAUGUAUCUUCUUUUCCUAUUUUUUCCUUUUAAAGUUGUAACUACCAUUUGAGAAUUGACUUAAACUGCUCGCAUUAGUGCAUCAUUUUGUAUUCACCUGAAAAUAAUGUAGCAUUGACUGAAACUGCUCACCAUUUGAAGUAUUGACUGAAACAUUAACUACCAUUGAAGUAUUUUCUUUAUUUUUUUUGACUAGAAAAGCAUGAAGAUGAAUUAAGUUGAUUCAUGUAGAUGAAAUGGUUUUCCAUUUCCAUUUGUGUCGUUUCAGUGAAACAAAAUGAUAUUGCAGCUCUUUUCAUUUAUGUCUUGUUUCAUUGCAUUAUUAUCUUCCAUGAUUUCUUUUUCACCAAUACAUUUUGUUGCAUAUAUGGAGGCCAUCUACUUUUCUGCUGAUAUUUGUUAUUAUAUCAUCUUGUUUGCGAACUUAAAAAGGUCCCUCAAAGAGAAGCGUUUUUCAUGUGCUCCUGAAUCUGGUGUGCGGUAUGAUGGAGUUUACAUAUUGAGAACUGUUGGAGGAAGACUGGUAUUCAGCGGAGGGUCACAGAUUCACAGGUGUAAGGAUCGGUACAAUUAGGCCUCGCAUUAUUUUUUCCAGAAUUGGGUGUGCGUACUCUCUAAACUGAUUUGAGUGAGCUAAAUCUGUGCAUCUAAAUUGUAGUCUGUAGCUUUAUGUGUUACUCCCUCCGUUCCAAAUUACUUGUCGUGGUUUUAGUUCAAAUUUGAAUAAGGUUCAAGUUGAAGAUUGCCUUUGGGAGUAGUUUAGUUGAUAGAAGUUUCAGGCUACAAAUACGCACACAUUAUGUGCUUAAUGUGUGGCAUAAACAUGAUCAGCUUUAUGUUUAGAAACCAAAUCACUGUCCACCCAUUUUAUUUCUUCAUGAGUAUUUUGUGUUGAAAUCAGAUCACCGUUCACCUUUCUGUGUAUUGUUGUCUUUAAUUUUUUUUUGCUGAUUCUCAAUAAAAUGCUCAGUUUCAGGAUGUGAUUUUCAGUUUUAGGCAUUUGGUACUUUCGGCAUCGAGAAAAAAAUUGUUCCUCUGAGUGUGUACCUUCAAAUGCAAAGUUCUGACUAUGAUUUCACGUGCAACCACAGCGCCGUUGGCCGCUCUGCCUACCGAGUGCCACCCCGCCGCCUCCUCCCACCCCCCACCUGGGACCUCACCGCCUGCUCCCCGCCCGGCACACCCACAACGCUUGAGGCUGAGCAGAUGCCAUUGGCCCGUGGGCACGGAAGCAGAGUCCAGGAUGGUGAUGGUGCCAAGGAGGACUCUCGGACGUCGACCGGUUGCAUCGUUGCUGCCGUAUCCAUGGAGUGGCGCGGCUCCAACCACUCUGAGAUGAUAUUCCUCUCUCUUUCUUUCCUGAAAGAACUAAGAAUCUUGUGUCAUCCUUUUUUUUAAAUAAAGUACAACCUGCUAGCUACCUGAUGGGCAUUGUCUCUGAACUUUUCAACCCCUUCAGUUCUGCCGAUGCACUGUAGACUCUAACAAUGGUGGAAAGGAAUCAGAUUCCAAUAAACUAGCACUACUGUGUUUUUACACAGUUGCCUUUUUUGCUAAAUUAACUAGCUUCUUCAUGGUAGAGUAGGUACAAAGAUACUCUCUGAUGAAUUUUGUUGGUAUUGUGUAAAGUAGAAAGCCUGACACUACUUCGUUGGUAACUGAGUUAACCAAUCGCAGAACUAGAAACAAGUAGGUGACAGGAAGAUUUGUGGAUUGUGAAACUUUUACUCAAUCUUAUCCCCAGGCCGCACAACAUUUUCUUUAGCAAAGGUGUCUCUGUUGCUGAGAUUCUUACACAUGGCUGGGAGUCGGCGCAAAGUACAUGGACACAUUGGUGCUAUAUUUUAAAAUUGUGAAACAGCAUCCAAGCUACUCCCUCCGUUUCAAAAUACUUGACUUCCAUUUGUCCAAAAAUGGAUGUACCUAUAUACUAAAACAUGUCUAGAUACAUCUAUAUUUUGACAAAUGGAAGGCAUGUAUUGUGGAACGGAGGGAGUACUUGUGAAGGUGUCAAUUUCUGCAUUGAUAAAGAUUCAAUUAUACUUCUGAUGGGAUUUUUUCUGUUAGCUAUCUGUACAAGAGAAUGAACUUGAGAAAUAUUAAUUUCUAGAUAAAUUUCUUUGGAAAGUGAAGCUUCCCCUGAAAAUUAAAGUUUUUCAUGGCUGGUUUUGAAAAAAUAAACAUACUUACUAAAGUCAAUUUAUUCAAACGAUGUUUUCAGGGAGAUAAAACCUGUCAAUUACGUGGUAGAGAUGAGAUUAUUGACCACUUAAUUGCUGGUUGCUAAGUUGAUCUAAACCAUUUUGCAAUGUGCAUUGAACCCGAAAACUCUACCUGAUACUGUUGUGACUUAUUUAGCUCUUGGUUGUUGUAUUAUGUAUUGUUCUGAAGGAGAUUAGAUCUUCAGAAGAAACUCCAAUGCAUCGAAUAUUAAAAGAAAAUCAUGAAGACUCACAUGCAUAUUGUUCACCAGGCUCAUCAAUGGCAUCAUACGACUCGUAACACCACCGACUUGAUCACAAAUCAGUCGUUGGUUGCAUGCCGUAGCACUAUCAGUUCCUUGUGGUGAUCGUGGUUACUGUUUGUUUGUGGUGCAGAGGAAUCAGUACAACAACAGAACUUGAAGCUGACAAGGAUGGAUGAUGGUUGGUUUUGGUGGAGAGAUCGGGUGCAUAUGAACAACCUAUUAUCUUCCUUUUUUGUUUUUCAUCAUUCAACGGGACAAUUUCCUAAUUCUUUUUUAGUACUGUCUGGAAAGGUUAUUAGUACAUAUAGGUUUGUCAAAAUUUAUUAGCACAUAUGAGGUUCUUUGUUUGGACCCCCUUUGGCUCUACAUAAUUCUUUGGAGUGGGAUUCUAGAUAGAUGCUUUUAUUGAUUUUCUCCCAUUGCAACGUACGGGUAUGUUUACUGUAAUAAUAAAGUCAGAAGGAGAAGGGCGAGGUCCAGAUGGAGCUCUACCAGUUCCACCGCUUUCAUA